RNAcentral lists this unclassified non-coding RNA (401 nucleotides) under soil metagenome. RNAcentral describes it as "partial contains 5.8S ribosomal RNA, internal transcribed spacer 2, and large subunit ribosomal RNA". The stretch from base 1 to 122 matches the Rfam family "5.8S ribosomal RNA", at positions 35 to 154 of the family's 154-position model. The record is from RNAcentral.
GAUGAAGAACGUAGUGAAAUGCGAUACUUGGUGUGAAUUGCAGAAUCCUGUGAACCAUCGAGUUUUUAAACGCAAGUUUCGCCCGAAGCCAUUAGGCCGAGGGCACGCCUGCCUGGGUGUCACACAUUGUUGCCCCAAUGCCAAUCGCCUCACUUUGUAGGUAUUUGCUUGGGGUGAAUGUUGGCCUCCCGGGAGCUCUGUCUCACGGUUGGUUGAAAAUCGAAUGCAUGGUGUCGGGUGUACCAUGAUGGAUGGUGGUUGAGUGAUGCUCGAGACCAAUCAUGGGUAACUCCACCAGAAUUGUGCUCGGUGACCCACAUGCGUCCCUUGGAUGCUCCCUAAGGAGACCUCAGGUCAGGCGGGGCUACCCGUUGAGUUUAAGCAUAUCAAUAAGCGGAGGA